GCGGCCUAUCAGCUUGUUGGUGAGGUAAUGGCUCACCAAGGCAACGACGGGUAGCCGGCCUGAGAGGGCGACCGGCCACACUGGGACUGAGACACGGCCCAGACUCCUACGGGAGGCAGCAGUGGGGAAUAUUGGGCAAUGGACGCAAGUCUGACCCAGCGACGCCGCGUGCGGGAUGAAGGCCUUCGGGUUGUAAACCGCUUUCAGCAGGGAAGAAGCGAAAGUGACGGUACCUGCAUAAGAAGCACCGGCUAACUAUGUGCCAGCAGCCGCGGUAAUACAUAGGGUGCAAGCGUUGUCCGGAAUUAUUGGGCGUAAAGAGUUCGUAGGUGGUUCGUUACGUCGGAUGUGAAAAUCUGGGGCUCAACCCCAGACCUGCAUUCGAUACGGGCGAGCUAGAGUUUGGUAGGGGAGACUGGAAUUCCU
This 426-nucleotide ribosomal RNA is filed under the name uncultured Actinomycetes bacterium. Its description in RNAcentral is "bacterial SSU rRNA". It matches the Rfam family "Bacterial small subunit ribosomal RNA", at positions 233 to 671 of the family's 1533-position model. The record is from RNAcentral. Lineage: Bacteria; Bacillati; Actinomycetota; Actinomycetes.